AUAGUGUCGCAAUAGUAAUUCAACCUAGUACGAGAGGAACCGUUGAUUCGCACAAUUAGUCAUCGCGCUUGGUUGAAAAGCUAGUGGCGCAAAGCUACCGUGCGUUGGAUUAUGAUUGAACGACUCUAAGUCAGAAUCCGGGCUAGAAGCGAUGCGUGUGCCUAUCGUUUGUUUGCCGACCAGUAGUAGGGGGCUUUGCCCCCUAUAGGCACGUGCCGUUGGUGAACCUUGUAAGGUGAAUAAGCCUUAUGAGACGCCUUGUGGCGCAAUUCCCAUCAAGCGACGGGUAGAAUCCUUUACAGACGACUUAAAUACGCGACGGGGUAUUGUAAGUGGCAGAGUGGCCUUGCUGCCACGAUCCACUGAGAUUCAGCCCUUGUCGCUUUGAUUC
Molecule: ribosomal RNA, 391 nt
Organism: Vigna angularis (adzuki bean)
Lineage: Eukaryota; Viridiplantae; Streptophyta; Magnoliopsida; Fabales; Fabaceae
Rfam family: Eukaryotic large subunit ribosomal RNA
Source: Rfam